GUGCUCACUUUGGCAGCACAUACACUAAAGUUGGAACGACAUGGAGAUUAGCAUGGCCCCUGCGCAAGGAUAACACACAAAUUUGUGAAGUGUAAAAAUUAAAU
This is a small nuclear RNA of Artibeus jamaicensis (Jamaican fruit-eating bat), 104 nucleotides long. The record is from RefSeq and is a predicted model, not a curated record. Lineage: Eukaryota; Metazoa; Chordata; Mammalia; Chiroptera; Phyllostomidae.